AGGAAAGCAAACCUUUUCACUCUCAUCGGGUUUCCCAGUUCUGAUGAAACUAAUUCCUCUAUUGAACUAAAAAGAGUAAAUGAAAACAAAGAAAGCAGAAUUCCUGCCACAGCAGAAGAGGGCCCAGCUGUCACUGACUAUUUCCAGGUGUUUAGCCAUUUUCUUCCACCAGUCUUUCAUCUGUGAACUAGGAAGAUGAAGGUCUUGUACACCUGAAGGCUUCUUUCCUUCGAACACACUUGGUGAACCUACUAACACUACAUGGGGGAAGAUGUUCACUCAGACAAAAAAAAAAGUACAAGCAAAGACCAGAGGAUCCCAGGAAAUACAGAGUAGAAAACAAGGAUAUACAGGAGUUAUACCAUGAAGAACGCUGGUCUGAGGAAGGCAAGCAACCUGUGCACCACACCCAGAUGUUCCCUCAUAUCCCUCAGGAGAAUACCAAGCCCUGCA
Long non-coding RNA from Rhea pennata, 453 nucleotides. RefSeq lists it as uncharacterized. The transcript has 3 exons. Lineage: Eukaryota; Metazoa; Chordata; Aves; Rheiformes; Rheidae. The record is from RefSeq and is a predicted model, not a curated record.